This 318-nucleotide unclassified non-coding RNA is filed under the name uncultured fungus. RNAcentral's name for it is "partial contains small subunit ribosomal RNA, internal transcribed spacer 1, and 5.8S ribosomal RNA". The stretch from base 1 to 73 matches the Rfam family "Eukaryotic small subunit ribosomal RNA", at positions 1759 to 1831 of the family's 1831-position model. The record is from RNAcentral. Lineage: Eukaryota; Fungi.
GCAAACUUGGUCAUUUAGAGGAAGUAAAAGUCGUAACAAGGUUUCCGUAGGUGAACCUGCGGAAGGAUCAUUAUUGAAAACAAACCCAGCUGAGGGUUGUCGCUGGCCUCUUGAGGCAUGUGCACGCCCUUUGACUGAUCAUCCAUAUCACCCUUGUGCACCUUUGCGUAAAGUUCUUGGUUCCUUCGUUGGUCCUUGGGCUUGCGCUUUUUCUACAAACCAUGAUGCAUGUUUUUGAAUGGCUUGUACGAUAAUAAUGUACAUAAUACAACUUUCAACAACGGAUCUCUUGGCUCUCGCAUCGAUGAAGAACGCAGC